UAGGUUACCUGCGAAGGAUCAUUAAGAUCGACCCCUGUUUCUGAAAUGGGUUCUAUUCCCAAACCGUGUAUACAUACCUUUGUUGCUUUGGCAGGCCGCCUUCUAGGCGUCGGCUCCGGCUGACUGCGCCUGCCAGAGGACCCAAACUCUUGUGUUUAGUGAUGUCUGAGUACUAUAUAAUAGUUAAAACUUUGAACAACGGAUCUCUUGGUUCUGGCAUCGAUGAAGAACGCAGCGAAAUGCGAUAAGUAAUGUGAAUUGCAGAAUUCAGUGAAUCAUCGAAUCUUUGAACGCACAUUGCGCCCCUUGGUAUUCCGAGGGGCAUGCCUGUUCGAGCGUCAUUAUAACCACUCAAGCCUCGGCUUGGUCUUGGGGUUCGCGGUUUCGCGGCCCUUAAAAUCAGAUGCUGGUGCCGUCUGGCUCUAAGCGUAGUAAUUCUCUCGCUAUAGGGUCCAGGUGACCAUUUGCCAUAACCCCCCAUUCUUUACGGUUGACCUGGGAUCAGUCAGA
RNAcentral lists this ribosomal RNA (510 nucleotides) under uncultured Hymenoscyphus. Its description in RNAcentral is "eukaryotic LSU rRNA". The stretch from base 188 to 341 matches the Rfam family "5.8S ribosomal RNA". Lineage: Eukaryota; Fungi; Ascomycota; Leotiomycetes; Helotiales; Helotiaceae. The record is from RNAcentral.